UACGAAGGGGGCUAGCGUUGCUCGGAAUUACUGGGCGUAAAGGGCUCGUAGGUGGCCAACUAAGUCAGACGUGAAAUCCCUCGGCUUAACCGGGGAACUGCGUCUGAUACUGGAUGGCUUGAGUUUGGGAGAGGGACGCGGAAUUCCAGGUGUAGCGGUGAAAUGCGUAGAUAUCUGGAGGAACACCGGUGGCGAAGGCGGCGUCCUGGACCAACACUGACACUGAUGAGCGAAAGCCAGGGGAGCAAACGGG
RNAcentral lists this ribosomal RNA (253 nucleotides) under uncultured bacterium. Its description in RNAcentral is "partial 16S ribosomal RNA". It matches the Rfam family "Bacterial small subunit ribosomal RNA", at positions 524 to 776 of the family's 1533-position model. The record is from RNAcentral.